Molecule: ribosomal RNA, 354 nt
Filed under: Triticum aestivum (bread wheat)
Lineage: Eukaryota; Viridiplantae; Streptophyta; Magnoliopsida; Poales; Poaceae
Description: partial small subunit ribosomal RNA
Source: RNAcentral
AUGUGGUAUCCGUUUCUGGUCAUCUUUAGCUUCCAGGUUGGGUUUACUAAAAUUGUAGCCAGUCCAUACUACAUGCUCCCAGAGGUAUUAAAGCACAAGUGUGGCCCUGAAAUCGAUGUCUGGAUUGUAGGAGUUAUACUUUACAUACUUCUUUGUGGUGUGCAAACAUUUUUGGUAGAUUCUGAACAGGGAGUAGCACAAGCAAUUAUGUGCUCUGUGGUAGAUUUCAAAAGAGACCCAAGGCCCGGAGUAUCUGAGCCUGCUGAAGACUUUGUUCGACAAAUGCUGGAUCCAGAUCCAAUCACACGGUUUACUACAACACAUGUACUCGGUGAGCGUGGUGUCUGUCGGUAG